Rosa rugosa (rugosa rose) is the source of this 4025-nucleotide long non-coding RNA. RefSeq lists it as uncharacterized. The transcript is spliced from 3 exons. NCBI's taxonomy places the organism in Eukaryota, Viridiplantae, Streptophyta, Magnoliopsida, Rosales, Rosaceae. The record is from RefSeq and is a predicted model, not a curated record.
GUACUAAAAUAGGGGUAUGAGGGAUUGUGAAAACCGGCCUUGUGAUGAUUUAUUGCAAUGCAGGCUCAAGGAGUGCUCUCUUUGCGGCCACUGAUCCUCAGGUUCCGGAGUUCUGUCAAUUGUUGAAACCAUACGACUUUCCUGUUUGUGCUUUCGUUUCUCAAGAUUGCAAUCCAACAAAUCCUUCCGAAGAAGCUCAUGAUGUUGACACUUUCAAGUGUGGGAAAAAACAUUCGAGAUGAUUGGCCUUCCUUUUGAUGUUGUGGAGAGGCUUACAGGAGGGGAAGAAUUUGCAUGCAGAUAUGGGCCUCACAGCACCAAUAUCUAUAUGCAAAUAAAGGAAUUUUGGAGCACCAACAUUGAUCUUCAUCUCCACCACAGACACUAUGACGUGAUUAAUCCUAUAAUGUGCAUCUCCCCUGUCCAAAAUAGAAGCUGGCAGCUGAGAUGCAACCAAAGGAUUACACACAGAGGUAUUUAGUGAGCCAAUUUGCUUUCUGUUGUUAAUGAUUAGUAUUGGGAGUUUGGGAUUACUGAGUAGUUUUAGAUCUUCCUCUAGUUUUGGUGUAUUGAUCCCAAUUCUUAUGCAACCAUGAAAUUUAAAAUAAGAGUUGGGGAAGAACUGGAUUAGAUUGUCUUAUGAAUUCUGAAUGUGUUUUCUGAUAGAUGCUGAAGAUAUAAUGUCCAUAUAUGCAUUUGUGUAUCUUAUCUUCUUCUGAUUUGUUACCUUGGUUGGUGUUAGAUAUUAGCUUGGUAUCUUAUCUUCUUCUGAUUUGUGCUAGAUAUUAGCUUGGUUGCUUCUUUAUUACCUUGUUUUUUCCCUAGUGUCAUCAGAUUAGCCAUGCAUUCAAUGUGAUGCAAUUCUUAUCAGAUUACCAAAGAUUCUGGUGACAUUUUAACAUGUUUGUCAUGUUAGAGUGUAGAAAUUGUAGUGUUGGCUUGGAAGAUAUAGUUUUGAUGGAUUACUGAUUAUAUAGGCUGUUAACCGGUUUGGUUUGAGAUUCCCUCUCUAUGAGUAGAGCUGUCUCUGCUUAAUAUUUUGUUGUGUGCGAUAUUCUCUUGCUGGACCUUUGCUGUUGAUCAUUUACAGAUGAGCGAUUUUGUAGGUAAGAGCAUAUAGGUGAUUCGGUUGUGAAGUAACUGAUCCUUUCUUUGCGAAUAUAUUCAUGAGUAUUUUGAGAAAGGAUCAGUGUUUUGUAGGCAAAUUCUAAUUCACACAAACCAAAAAUCCAUUUGGAUUUAACUCAUUUACAAGGAUUUCGGUCUUCCUCAAUUUACAAUAAAAGUGGGGAGAAACCGCCUCCUAAACUCUAAGUCAGAUAUACAUUUUUCUUCCUGUUGCAUAGUUAUAUUCUGUAGACACCAGGAUUUUAUCCCCAUUAAUAUGCCUUCUGACCUUCUGUAAACCAUUAUAUACUACAUGGCAAUCUUGUAUUCUCCUUUCAACAAUGUGACAAUUGAAACAAACAAUACUUAAAUUGUGGAGAAACUCAUACCCAAAUCAUACCAUACAAAAGUUUCUAGUAGUGAUCUUGUAGCUUAUGUUUUUAGCAGGUUAUCAUGCCCUCGAAAGCACUCCUUUUGGUUUUCUUCAUAGCAAUUUGUUGCUCCUCGAUCUAUGCCUUUAAAUGUCAUUUCAUUUGCUUCAGUUAUAUGGAGUAGCCUGAAUAUUGUUUUGUAAUUCUUGGUGUAUUGUUUCAUCUUCAUCUUCUACAUCAUUUCUCUGUAAAUCACAGCAUCAAUGCAUCAUAUUAGAGCAAUUGAAGUAAAAUCAGGAGCAACUGAAUGAAGUGGCUCCUCAGAUAAUUAGAUAUAAAUUUUACCGAGUCUUAAAAGAGAAGGACUGUAAUGAUUCACCCAAAAUGCAGUUUGACUGAUAUGGUGUGAAGUUAAUCAAAGAGGAAUUGCUGAUGCAAGUCUGGUGUUGACUGAGGAGUUGACUUUCGGAAAUAGAUGUGGAAGCAGAGAGUAUGAUAUGUAGAGAAAUCAUUGUGAGGUCUAUCUGAGUGUGAUAGGUAUGAAUUUGAGUAGUGGCAUGAGAAUGUGCAGGUUACAAGCUAGCUAAUGCAUUGGUCUGCAGGUGUUGACCAUGUCGUUGACUUUAUGAUAUAGGUGAAGAUGGAGCAUUAGCCAAAGUACUGAAGGUGGAGGGCUUCAUAUAUGAUAUGUCUGAGGGUGAAUUUAGAUCAGUAGCUAAUUGAUGGCAGAGGGACUGAGGGACACUAUCGGUAGCAGAUAGUAUGUCAUUUUGCUGAUGUUGACCAAGAUGUUGACACUAUUUUUUUUUUGAAAGGAGAUGUUGACACUAUUGGUAGCAGAUAGUGUGUCAUUUUGCUGAUGUUGGCUUUCAUAAGUGAAUGAAGAAUAAGUAAUUGCUGAAUUGAUUGUUGCAGACUCACAAUGAACAUUUGCUAACUGCGUAUGAAUUCACCUUUGCUUAUUAUGUUGUGAAAGAGCUUCUUGAGUUGAUUUGUCAGCAUAAAUGAACCUUACAAUUUUGUCUUGCAAAUGGAAAUUUUUAUUCGGUAUGUUGAAAGUUGAAACGAACCAACAGAUUGAGGCAGUUAGAUUUAUCUGAACCUUAAAGUUGACUGACCAGUUCCCCCCUUGGCCACUUUUGAAAAAGCAUAUAGAGGACGUAAGUAAGUGUUCCUGUGAAACUUGGGGCAAACUAUCACUUAUUGAAAGGUAUUUUUGAUACACAUGUUCACUGUUGAUUGCAGUUGUCUUGGCUAUUAUUUGAUCAGGUUAGAAAGCUUAAGUGGAUGAAACCAUAUUGUGACAAUUUUGCGAGGGAGUUUACCAAUUCCUGCAUUGAUGUCGAGUCAAUCCACUGCUCUUUUGUUAUUUUUCGUUUGUUCUAGUGUCUUGAUCUUAGUUGUUUUAAUUAAAGUACAAUUUUUGUGCAUUGGUUUGCCUUUAUAUUCGUUCUCCUCUUAAUUUAUUUUGCCCCAAAAGAAUCUUUUUGUUUUUAGGUUUCUUGCUAAUCAAUGUGAAGCUGACAGAACUUUUGCUCCUGAAUCAUUACUAAGCAGGAUCUGAGUUUUUGCAAUUUUUCUUUCAGAAUUUAAAAAUUAAGAUGAUCCUGAAUAACUAUUCUCUACUGAUUCAUGCUCUCUGCAGAGUUGUACGGGUGUACUUAUCAAUUUCUUAGUGUGUUUAAGUCCAUAUGCACACAUAUGUCAGAAGCAUUGAUGCUCUUAGGCCUAAGUAUAUCUCAUUUUUAUGUUAUUGAUGACUCGACCCAUAUAUGUCAAAGUGAAAAGCUCUGAAAAAGUUUAUUAUGUCCAUGCCUUGUAGGAGCUUCUCUUUAGAGGAAAAUAGAAGGAGAAAGACAGAGAAAAAAGAGAAUAGAGUAGCAUUGAUUUCAUUUGCUAUUAGGGCCUUAUGCUUCUGCAUUUUAGUGUGCAGCAUUGAGUUAUCAUUUACCUUUUUACUUAUUUCUUUUUAAAGAAGCUGUUUCAAGCAAUGAUCUUUGAACAUAUUAGCAAGUUCUGAUCCCACACCUAACAACUUGUGCAUAAUUUUGUUAAUAACUUUCCAUAUGUUAAAUUCAAUAUUGUUCACUCACUAACCAGUCCACUGCGUGUUCUGAGUUUCCUAUCGCAUAUGCAUAGGGAGCAGCAGGUUUUCUUCCCCUGUCAAAAUCGAUGAACCAGAAUCUCUCCUGCGCAAAAAUGCAGCAAGUUUUUCAUCUCCAAGUAAGUGCCAUUGGCCCACUACAGAUGCUAGGAGUUUGCAGGGUUUCCUUAAGAAGUUGAGUUGGAAUCUUGUAAGCAAUGUCUUUGUUGCUCUUAGAAUGCAGUGGACCUAGCACAACUUCUGUGAAUUUGAUGCAAACAUCUUUCUCUCAAUACCAAAAGGAAAGAAUGUUUUUGGUGCAACUAUGAUGAAAGAAGCUUCCCUAUUAAAGUUAAUGAGAGUCUUACCCUAAGCUGAUACUCAUGUUAAAGAAGAUGCGACAAAGCUAACGGAGAGUCAAUGCUGAAAAUUCAUAGGAGAUUUUGUGUUUUUUGUUUUUUUUU